GGCCCAAAUCUGAAGUAGGGUAGAUUAGUAAGGUCAGCUGAUCCUACUAUUCUACUCACUGUACUUCGGAAUUGGGCCC
Molecule: non-coding RNA, 79 nt
Organism: Haemonchus contortus (barber pole worm)
Lineage: Eukaryota; Metazoa; Nematoda; Chromadorea; Rhabditida; Trichostrongylidae
Source: Rfam